This 253-nucleotide ribosomal RNA is filed under the name uncultured bacterium. RNAcentral describes it as "partial 16S ribosomal RNA". It matches the Rfam family "Bacterial small subunit ribosomal RNA", at positions 524 to 776 of the family's 1533-position model. The record is from RNAcentral.
UACGUGGGGGGCAAGCGUUGUCCGGAUUUAUUGGGCGUAAAGAGCGUGUAGGCGGCCUGACAAGUCUGCUGUGAAAACUCGAGGCUUAACCUCGAGCUGUCGGCGGAAACCAUCUGGCUAGAGUCCGGAAGAGGAGAAUGGAAUUCCCGGUGUAGCGGUGAAAUGCGCAGAUAUCGGGAAGAACACCCGUGGCGAAGGCGGUUCUCUGGGACGGUACUGACGCUGAGACGCGAAAGCGUGGGGAGCGAACAGG